GUAGGGAAUAUUGGGCAAUGGACGCAAGUCUGACCCAGCCAUGCCGCGUGCAGGAUGAAGGCGUUAUGCGUCGUAAACUGCUUUUAUACAGGAAGAAACGACUCUUGCGAGAGGCAUUGACGGUACUGUAUGAAUAAGCACCGGCUAACUCCGUGCCAGCAGCCGCGGUAAUACGGAGGGUGCAAGCGUUGUCCGGAUUUAUUGGGUUUAAAGGGUGCGCAGGUGGUUUAUUAAGUCAGUGGUGAAAGACGGUCGCUCAACGAUUGCAGUGCCAUUGAAACUAGUAGAACUUGAGUAAAGUAGAGGUGGGCGGAAUUGAUAGUGUAGCGGUGAAAUGCAUAGAUAUUAUCAAGAACUCCAAUUGCGUAGGCAGCUCACUUGGCUUUUACUGACACUCAUGCACGAAAGUGUGGGUAUCAAACAGGAUUAGA
Molecule: ribosomal RNA, 431 nt
Filed under: Bacteroidetes bacterium SCGC AAA027-N20
Lineage: Bacteria; Pseudomonadati; Bacteroidota
Description: bacterial SSU rRNA
Rfam family: Bacterial small subunit ribosomal RNA
Source: RNAcentral